This 63-nucleotide transfer RNA is filed under the name Peloridium hammoniorum. Its description in RNAcentral is "tRNA-Gly". The record is from RNAcentral. Lineage: Eukaryota; Metazoa; Arthropoda; Insecta; Hemiptera; Peloridiidae.
UUUUCUUUAGUACAAAAAGUAUUUUUAACUUCCAAUUAAAAGAUCUCUAAUAAAGAAGAAAAA